Molecule: long non-coding RNA, 1123 nt
Organism: Megachile rotundata (alfalfa leafcutting bee)
Lineage: Eukaryota; Metazoa; Arthropoda; Insecta; Hymenoptera; Megachilidae
Source: RefSeq, a predicted model, not a curated record
AAAAUGGACGCGUGGGAGUUCUCGGAAACGUUUCCAAUAAAUUCGACACACAACACACGCAGUUGGCAGAAAAUACCUCGAUGUCUUUGCAAGAAAAUAGUAAAAAUUUGAAGGACGCAAAAUGGUUGCUGAAGAUCAACGAACUUGAAAAGGCGUCGGAACUCGUUGGUUUCGUGGCGGUGGGACCCGAGCUACCAAUCCUGGACCAGAAGUUACAACGGAAGGUGCAACGGUGGUCCACGAUCGAACGGGUGGGGAUUUCACACGGUUCCUGGAGGAAUUUCGGGAUCUUCGAGUAUCCUGCGUUGAGUGAUCUAGUCAGAGAUCGGACGCAAAGUGCUGCGGUGCUCAUCCAGCGAAUCGGCUCAGAUUUCGCAUCUCCGGUGACACGAAUCUUUUUCACGAAUCUCUUUGUCAGAAUUUUUCUGAUUUUUCGACAUUUCGAUUCGAAUUAGUACAACGAUCUUGUAUCGUUGGAAAGUGAAUAAAGAUUUUCUCUACGGUGUCGCAGUGAUCUUUGUGUGAACGAUAAAAAAUGCCUCAACCAGCUCACGAGACAAAAAACAUCCUAACGACCUACUUCAUUCUGAUUCUUCUGCUGAUUUGUCUGUGGCUGCUGUAUUCAGGAUUGUUUUAACUUUCGAGUACAUUCCUCGUCAUGGAGUGAAGAAGGACGAAGCACCCGUUCGUCAACCACCAGAUAUCUCCAGGAUGUGACCCGCCCAUUUUCUACGCCGAGUUAUAAAAGAAGAAAUCAAAAUGAACGAAACAAUCAUCCGUGUUUCAGCAGUUUUGAACGAUCUUCAUAAUUUCCUCCAGUUUUUCCGUACGACUUCGCACAUACCGCGAUCAUGAUCAUUGACAAGGAUGUAGUGCUAUUUUUAAUAAACACAGAGAACAAAAAUAACGUAGUUUCAACAGAGGCAGAAACGAGAUCGCGGAGCAUGAGGUUCUCGUAAAUUAGAAAAAUUAUAACGGAGAGCGCGUGUAAUGUUGCUCUGGUAAAUGUAGCGAAAUGUUUUUGUUCGGCGCCAUUUGCAACGGAAAAAAUUGCGCAUUGGCGUAACUGGGAGUUGUAGGAAUUCCUGUGGGAUGGGAUGUUUGAGAAUUUGGGAUUUGGGGA